UGCACUUUUCUGAUGAAAAUGUCAUUUUGUCAAUGUGAAUUUUUUUAGAUUGAAAUGAAAAUUGAAGUAUAAAAAAAAGUAAACAAAGUGUUUUAUAUUAUAUUGGAUAUAAUGAAGUAAUUUUGAGAUUAAAGAUAGGUUCAGCAAGUUCUAUGAAUAAAAAAUGAGUGUUAUGUGUUAUACGUGCAUACAAAUAACAAGGAAGGAUGUGUCUGGUGUCUGACUGGUCAUUUUCAAUUCAUCUGUAUUUAUUUGCUACAAUUUAUGACACCAAUCAUAACCGUACUAAUGUCAAUUCUGAAAACUUCAUCAGUGACAAUUGAUGCUGUGUAGAAAAUUCAAUAAGAAGACUAAUUCUGAAGAAAUAGAGCAAGCUCUAAAAAUGGUUAGUAAAAGCCAAUGAAAGAGAGGCAGAAAACGAAACCAAUGAAGGAAAAAAUGAUGUUAUUAUCUAAUAUAUGUUUUAAUAU
Molecule: long non-coding RNA, 470 nt
Organism: Anoplophora glabripennis (Asian longhorned beetle)
Lineage: Eukaryota; Metazoa; Arthropoda; Insecta; Coleoptera; Cerambycidae
Exons: 3
Source: RefSeq, a predicted model, not a curated record